RNAcentral lists this ribosomal RNA (504 nucleotides) under Bacillus sp. (in: firmicutes). RNAcentral's name for it is "bacterial SSU rRNA". It matches the Rfam family "Bacterial small subunit ribosomal RNA", at positions 108 to 596 of the family's 1533-position model. Lineage: Bacteria; Bacillati; Bacillota; Bacilli; Caryophanales; Bacillaceae. The record is from RNAcentral.
GAGUAACACGUGGGUAACCUGCCCAUAAGACUGGGAUAACUCCGGGAAACCGGGGCUAAUACCGGAUAACAUUUUGAACCGCAUGGUUCGAAAUUGAAAGGCGGCUUCGGCUGUCACUUAUGGAUGGACCCGCGUCGCAUUAGCUAGUUGGUGAGGUAACGGCUCACCAGGGCAACGAUGCGUAGCCAACCUGAGAGGGUGAUCAGCCAUACUGGGACUGAGACACGGCCCAGACUCCUACGGGAGGCAGCAGUUGGGAAUCUUCCGCAAUGUACGAAAGUCUGACGGAGCAACGCCGCGCUGAGUGUGAAGGCUUUCGGGUCGUAAACUCUGUUGUUAGAGGAGAACAAGUCCUAGUUGAAUAAGCUGCUACCUUGACGGUACCUAACCAGAUAGCGACGUCUAACUACGUGCCAGCAGCGGCGGUAAUACGUAGGUGGUACGCGUUAUACGGCAUUAUCGGGCGUAAGGCGCCGCGCAGGGUGGUUUCUUAAGUCUGAUGUG